Abrus precatorius (Indian licorice) is the source of this 152-nucleotide small nucleolar RNA. RefSeq annotates it as small nucleolar RNA snoR2/U65. The record is from RefSeq and is a predicted model, not a curated record. Lineage: Eukaryota; Viridiplantae; Streptophyta; Magnoliopsida; Fabales; Fabaceae. The transcript has a single exon.
GGUUCAAUGCCACGUCGCUGGUAGCUAACUGUGCAAUGACCAGCGAUGCUAUGAUUGGACCAAAAGCAAGAGUUAAUUGUUUCGCAUCUUGAUAGGAAUCCGUGGAGUCGUUACUCAUUUCAUUUACGGAGCCGUUUUCUGCGAUUACAUUU